AUUGAACGCUGGCGGAAUGCUUUACACAUGCAAGUCGAGCGGCAGCGCGGGGCAACCUGGCGGCGAGCGGCGAACGGGUGAGUAAUGCAUCGGAACGUACCCAGUCGUGGGGGAUAACUGUCCGAAAGGACAGCUAAUACCGCAUACGUCCUGAGGGAGAAAGCGGGGGAUCGCAAGACCUCGCGCGAUUGGAGCGGCCGAUGCCGGAUUAGCUAGUUGGUAGGGUAAAGGCCUACCAAGGCGACGAUCCAUAGCUGGUCUGAGAGGAUGAUCAGCCACACUGGGACUGAGACACGGCCCAGACUCCUACGGGAGGCAGCAGUGGGGAAUAUUGGACAAUGGGCGAAAGCCUGAUCCAGCCAUGCCGCGUGAGUGAUGAAGGCCCUAGGGUUGUAAAGCUCUUUCAGUGGGGAAGAUAAUGACGGUACCCACAGAAGAAGCCCCGGCUAACUUCGUG
This 457-nucleotide ribosomal RNA is filed under the name uncultured bacterium. Its description in RNAcentral is "bacterial SSU rRNA". It matches the Rfam family "Bacterial small subunit ribosomal RNA", at positions 29 to 507 of the family's 1533-position model. The record is from RNAcentral.